AGGGGAAGGUCACACCCAACAAGAACUGCUAAUUCUCGUCCCUGAGCCUAAAAUCUCAGUCCCCUU
RNAcentral lists this transfer RNA (66 nucleotides) under Sarothrura rufa (red-chested flufftail). RNAcentral's name for it is "tRNA-Ser". Lineage: Eukaryota; Metazoa; Chordata; Aves; Gruiformes; Rallidae. The record is from RNAcentral.